This 877-nucleotide small RNA is filed under the name Histoplasma ohiense. RNAcentral's name for it is "hypothetical lncRNA". Lineage: Eukaryota; Fungi; Ascomycota; Eurotiomycetes; Onygenales; Ajellomycetaceae. The record is from RNAcentral.
AUGGCCUGAUAGGGUUUGAGCCGUAUCCUGAUUUCUGGACGCCGAGGCAUGCUGUGCGGGGCUCCAAGCAUUGCUGAAAGCUAUACGAUUUUCGAAUAUGAUGACCGUUUCAAGUUUUGGGUUCACAAACGAAAAUUGUAUAUAUCGAAGUUGCAAUUGAGGCUCUCCGUUUUCUCUGGCGAACAUCAUCAAGGUUGAUAGAAAAUGGGCGGAAUCCAUGCGUGAAAGUUCACGCUUUGAUAACUAACCAUCCAUACGACGAACUAAGGCCUAAGGGCUGCCAAUAUUACGAGGAAUUUGGCAGGCAACAGUCUUUAUCAUUUUCCGUGCAAUCAAAAAAAGGAUCUCCGAGGUUAGUUCUGGGCUAACUCGCUUAGCAGUUGCCGAAGGAAUGAUGUCGAUUUUGUGGAUAGUUCGAUAUGGAGAUUGAUGUAGAGUCUUUAUCAUUCCAACCCGCUGCGAUUGGCACCAAUUCUUGAAGUUGGAGACUGCUAACAGGUCACCUUUUCCGAUUAUUGCAUUGUCGUGAAGCGAGAAAUUACCCCAUAUUUCUUGAAACCAGCACAAGGGAGACUACCGGGACUCAAUUUCUCUGUUUGUGGGACAGAUGUCGUCCCAAAAUUCCGGAAGAUUGCCGAAAAUGGGAAGUUUCCGUCGUUAGAGAGAGGACUGCUUGAGAAGCAUUUUCGUUAUUUUAAGGUUUUCUAGAUCAUGAAUAGGGUGUUAUUCCUCAGGAGCAUGACGUCGUUUUCCUGUGGAUUCUUUAUCCUAUGUGUUGCUGAGGCUGUGAUGUUAGGGAUACAUAGAAACAAAUACGAGCUCAUAUCCCCACUUACAUCCACUAAACUCAAUCCCUUGAGAGAGUUCCGAAAGGCUA